Molecule: long non-coding RNA, 310 nt
Filed under: Trifolium pratense (red clover)
Lineage: Eukaryota; Viridiplantae; Streptophyta; Magnoliopsida; Fabales; Fabaceae
Description: long non-coding RNA (TPRA_LNC000353)
Source: RNAcentral
UUUCUUUAAGGGACCUAUUUGGACCUUUUUUUCUUUAAGGGACCAAUAUGAAACCAAAAAUGUCUUUAAGGGACCAUUUUACUAAUUAAGCCUUUUUUUUUAAUAAGUAAACAAAAUGAUGGGGUUCCAGAAUUAUUUAAAAAAUAUAUAAAAUAUAAAAUAAACAUAUAAACAAAUAUAGAAUAAUUAGUCCAUGAAAUUCCUUAUACUACUCUUAUUGAAAACGCUCUUAAAAUUUUUGUAUUUUAUUUUUUAUUGUUACAUAUUACACCUAAUUAGACCCAUGCACCGCAUGGGUCAAAGUUCUAGU